This 756-nucleotide ribosomal RNA is filed under the name uncultured bacterium. Its description in RNAcentral is "bacterial SSU rRNA". It matches the Rfam family "Bacterial small subunit ribosomal RNA", at positions 8 to 796 of the family's 1533-position model. The record is from RNAcentral.
AGAGUUUGAUCAUGGCUCAGAAUCAACGCUGGCGGCGUGCCUAACACAUGCAAGUCGCACGAGAAAGGGUAGCAAUACCCGAGUAAAGUGGCGCACGGGUGAGUAACACGUGAAUAAUCUACCUCCGAGUGGGGAAUAACUGAGAGAAAUCUUAGCUAAUACCGCAUAACACUUACGAGUCAAAGCAGCAAUGCGCUUGGAGAGGAGUUCGCGGCCGAUUAGUUAGUUGGCGGGGUAAUGGCCCACCAAGACGAUGAUCGGUAUCCGGCCUGAGAGGGCGCACGGACACACUGGAACUGAAACACGGUCCAGACUCCUACGGGAGGCAGCAGUGGGGAAUUUUGCGCAAUGGGGGAAACCCUGACGCAGCAACGCCGCGUGGAGGAUGAAAUAUCUUGGUAUGUAAACUCCUUUCGAUGGGGAAGAUUAUGACGGUACCCAUAGAAGAAGCCCCGGCUAACUUCGUGCCAGCAGCCGCGGUAAUACGAGGGGGGCAAGCGUUGUUCGGAUUUAUUGGGCGUAAAGGGUGCGUAGGCGGUUUGGCAAGUCUGAUGUGAAAUCUAUGGGCUCAACCCAUAGUCUGCAUCAGAAACUGCCGGGCUUGAGUAUGGGAGAGGUGAGUGGAAUUUCCGGUGUAGCGGUGAAAUGCGUAGAUAUCGGAAGGAACACCUGUGGCGAAAGCGGCUCACUGGACCAUAACUGACGCUGAUGCACGAAAGCUAGGGGAGCAAACAGGAUUAGAUACCCCCGUAGUCC